Molecule: ribosomal RNA, 811 nt
Filed under: uncultured archaeon
Lineage: Archaea
Description: bacterial SSU rRNA
Rfam family: Archaeal small subunit ribosomal RNA
Source: RNAcentral
ACUGCUCAGUAACACGUAGCUAACCCACCCUUGAGACGGAGAAAACCCCGGGAAACUGGGGCUAAUCCCCGAUAAGAGAAGACACCUGGAACGGGUCUCCUCUCAAAAGGCGUCUAUACCAUGCUUUUAGGCGCUGCUCAAGGGCGGGGCCGCGGCCGAUCAGGUUGUUGGUGAGGCAACGGCUUACCAAGCCUAUAACCGGUACGGGCCGUGAGAGCGGGAGCCCGGAGAUGGGCACUGAGACAAGGGCCCAGGCCCUACGGGGCGCAGCAGUUGCGAAAACUCCGCAAUGCACGAAAGUGUGACGGGGCUACCCCGAGUGCCGUCCGCUGAGGGCGGCUUUUCCCCGGUGUAAGGAGCCGGGGGAAUAAGGAGAGGGCAAGUCUGGUGUCAGCCGCCGCGGUAAUACCAGCUCUCCGAGUGGUAGGGACGAUUAUUGGGCUUAAAGCGUCCGUAGCCGGCCUGACAAGUCUUCCGUUAAAUCCAACGAUUCAAUCGUUGGACUGCAGGAGAUACUGUUGGGCUAGGGGGCGGGAGAGGUCGACGGUAUUCUCGGGGUAGGGGUAAAAUCCUAUAAUCCCGGGAAGACCACCAGUGGCGAAGGCGGUCGGCUAGAACGCGCUCGACGGUGAGGGACGAAAGCUGGGGGAGCGAACCGGAUUAGAUACCCGGGUAGUCCCAGCUGUAAACGAUGCCGGCUAGGUGUUGGAGCGGCUACGGGCCGCUUCAGUGCCGCAGGGAAACCAUUAAGCCCGCCGCCUGGGGAGUACGGCCGCAAGGCUGAAACUUAAAGGAAUUGGCGGGGGAGCAC